Molecule: small nuclear RNA, 164 nt
Organism: Papio anubis (olive baboon)
Lineage: Eukaryota; Metazoa; Chordata; Mammalia; Primates; Cercopithecidae
Gene: U2
Rfam family: U2 spliceosomal RNA
About the family: U2 is a small nuclear RNA (snRNA) component of the spliceosome (involved in pre-mRNA splicing).
Source: Ensembl
AUCGCUUCUCGGCCUUUUGGCUAAGAUCAAGUGUAGGAUUUCUUUGUCAUGAUUCCUCAGUGAAAUUCCAGUCUCUUUCUUGCCUGAGAUUUCUUCAAAACUAUAUUAUUAGUAAUUUUUUUACUCUGAAGUUUCUGUAUAAAAAUAGCCAGAGCAGAAGGUUU